AAUAGAUACCCUGGUAGUCCACGCCGUAAACGAUGGAUGCUAGCUAUUGGGGGGAAUCGACCCCCUCCGAAGCGAAGCUAACGCGUUAAGCAUCCCGCCUGAGUAGUACGAGCGCAAGCUUAAAACUCAAAGGAAUUGACGGGGACCCGCACAAGCGGUGGAGCGUGUGGUUUAAUUCGAUGGUAAACGAAGAACCUUACCAAGGUUUGACAUCCCGGUAGCCGUUCUCCGAAAGGAGAAUUUCAUUUAGUUGGACCGGUGACAGGUGAUGCAUGGCCGUCGUCAGCUCGUGUCGUGAGAUGUUGGGUUAAGUCCCGCAACGAGCGCAACCCUUAUGAUUUAGUUGGAUUUUUCUAAACAGACUGCCCUGGUAACAGGGAGGAAGGAGGGGAUGAUGUCAGGUCAGUAUUUCCCUUACACCUUGGGGCGACACACGCGCUACAAUGGCCGGUACAAUGGGCAGCUAAGCCGCGAGGUGGAGCAAAUCCCAUCAAAGCCGGUCCCAGUUCGGAUUGCAGGCUGAAACCCGCUGCAUGAAGCCGGAAUCGCUAGUAACC
This 557-nucleotide ribosomal RNA is filed under the name uncultured bacterium. Its description in RNAcentral is "bacterial SSU rRNA". It matches the Rfam family "Bacterial small subunit ribosomal RNA", at positions 777 to 1343 of the family's 1533-position model. The record is from RNAcentral.